Molecule: ribosomal RNA, 1550 nt
Filed under: Staphylococcus aureus subsp. aureus ED98
Lineage: Bacteria; Bacillati; Bacillota; Bacilli; Caryophanales; Staphylococcaceae
Description: 16S ribosomal RNA
Rfam family: Bacterial small subunit ribosomal RNA
Source: RNAcentral
UGGAGAGUUUGAUCCUGGCUCAGGAUGAACGCUGGCGGCGUGCCUAAUACAUGCAAGUCGAGCGAACGGACGAGAAGCUUGCUUCUCUGAUGUUAGCGGCGGACGGGUGAGUAACACGUGGAUAACCUACCUAUAAGACUGGGAUAACUUCGGGAAACCGGAGCUAAUACCGGAUAAUAUUUUGAACCGCAUGGUUCAAAAGUGAAAGACGGUCUUGCUGUCACUUAUAGAUGGAUCCGCGCUGCAUUAGCUAGUUGGCAAGGUAACGGCUUACCAAGGCAACGAUGCAUAGCCGACCUGAGAGGGUGAUCGGCCACACUGGAACUGAGACACGGUUCAGACUCCUACGGGAGGCAGCAGUAGGGAAUCUUCCGCAAUGGGCGAAAGCCUGACGGAGCAACGCCGCGUGAGUGAUGAAGGUCUUCGGAUCGUAAAACUCUGUUAUUAGGGAAGAACAUAUGUGUAAGUAACUGUGCACAUCUUGACGGUACCUAAUCAGAAAGCCACGGCUAACUACGUGCCAGCAGCCGCGGUAAUACGUAGGUGGCAAGCGUUAUCCGGAAUUAUUGGGCGUAAAGCGCGCAUAGGCGGUUUUUUAAGUCUGAUGUGAAAGCCCACGGCUCAACCGUGGAGGGUCAUUGGAAACUGGAAAACUUGAGUGCAGAAGAGGAAAGUGGAAUUCCAUGUGUAGCGGUGAAAUGCGCAGAGAUAUGGAGGAACACCAGUGGCGAAGGCGACUUUCUGGUCUGUAACUGACGCUGAUGUGCGAAAGCGUGGGGAUCAAACAGGAUUAGAUACCCUGGUAGUCCACGCCGUAAACGAUGAGUGCUAAGUGUUAGGGGGUUUCCGCCCCUUAGUGCUGCAGCUAACGCAUUAAGCACUCCGCCUGGGGAGUACGACCGCAAGGUUGAAACUCAAAGGAAUUGACGGGGACCCGCACAAGCGGUGGAGCAUGUGGUUUAAUUCGAAGCAACGCGAAGAACCUUACCAAAUCUUGACAUCCUUUGACAACUCUAGAGAUAGAGCUUUCCCCUUCGGGGGACAAAGUGACAGGUGGUGCAUGGUUGUCGUCAGCUCGUGUCGUGAGAUGUUGGGUUAAGUCCCGCAACGAGCGCAACCCUUAAGCUUAGUUGCCAUCAUUAAGUUGGGCACUCUAAGUUGACUGCCGGUGACAAACCGGAGGAAGGUGGGGAUGACGUCAAAUCAUCAUGCCCCUUAUGAUUUGGGCUACACACGUGCUACAAUGGACAAUACAAAGGGCAGCGAAACCGCGAGGUCAAGCAAAUCCCAUAAAGUUGUUCUCAGUUCGGAUUGUAGUCUGCAACUCGACUACAUGAAGCUGGAAUCGCUAGUAAUCGUAGAUCAGCAUGCUACGGUGAAUACGUUCCCGGGUCUUGUACACACCGCCCGUCACACCACGAGAGUUUGUAACACCCGAAGCCGGUGGAGUAACCUUUUAGGAGCUAGCCGUCGAAGGUGGGACAAAUGAUUGGGGUGAAGUCGUAACAAGGUAGCCGUAUCGGAAGGUGCGGCUGGAUCACCUCCUUUCU